UGGGGAAUUUUGCACAAUGGGCGAAAGCCUGAUGCAGCGACGCCGCGUGGAGGACGAAGGCCUUCGGGUUGUAAACUUCUUUUGUAGGGGAAAAUAAUGAUGGUACCCUAUGAAUAAGCCACGGCUAACUCUGUGCCAGCAGCCGCGGUAAGACAGAGGUGGCAAGCGUUAUUCGGAAUUACUGGGCUUAAAGGGCGCGUAGGCGGUAGUGCAAGUCUGGUGUGGAAUUCUAUAGCUUAACUAUAGGGCUGCGCUGGAAACUGCAUUACUUGAGUUGGUGAGGGGAAGGCGGAAUUCCUGGUGUAGCGGUGAAAUGCGUAGAUAUCAGGAGGAAGGCCUGUGGUGAAGACGGCCUUCUGGCACUUAACUGACGCUGAGGCGCGAAAGCGUGGGGAGCAAA
This 400-nucleotide ribosomal RNA is filed under the name uncultured bacterium. Its description in RNAcentral is "bacterial SSU rRNA". It matches the Rfam family "Bacterial small subunit ribosomal RNA", at positions 355 to 772 of the family's 1533-position model. The record is from RNAcentral.